AGUGAACGCUGGCGGUAGGCCUAACACAUGCAAGUCGAACGGCAGCACAGUAAGAGCUUGCUCUUACGGGUGGCGAGUGGCGGACGGGUGAGGAAUACAUCGGAAUCUACUUUUUCGUGGGGGAUAACGUAGGGAAACUUACGCUAAUACCGCAUACGACCUACGGGUGAAAGCAGGGGAUCUUCGGACCUUGCGCGAUUGAAUGAGCCGAUGUCGGAUUAGCUAGUUGGCGGGGUAAAGGCCCACCAAGGCGACGAUCCGUAGCUGGUCUGAGAGGAUGAUCAGCCACACUGGAACUGAGACACGGUCCAGACUCCUACGGGAGGCAGCAGUGGGGAAUAUUGGACAAUGGGCGCAAGCCUGAUCCAGCCAUACCGCGUGGGUGAAGAAGGCCUUCGGGCUGUAAAGCCCUUCUGUUGGGAAAGAAAAGCAGCAGGUUAAUACCCCGCUGUUCUGACGGUACCCAAAGAAUAAGCACCGGCUAACUUCGUG
RNAcentral lists this ribosomal RNA (492 nucleotides) under uncultured bacterium. RNAcentral's name for it is "partial 16S ribosomal RNA". It matches the Rfam family "Bacterial small subunit ribosomal RNA", at positions 29 to 507 of the family's 1533-position model. The record is from RNAcentral.